This 228-nucleotide long non-coding RNA is filed under the name Elaeis guineensis (African oil palm). RNAcentral's name for it is "long non-coding RNA (EGUI_LNC020350)". Lineage: Eukaryota; Viridiplantae; Streptophyta; Magnoliopsida; Arecales; Arecaceae. The record is from RNAcentral.
CUUAUCCAAUGUUCCACAAUGAAAAUUUUUUUUUGAUGAUUUUUGACUUAAUUUUGAGUAUAAAUAAUCCUUCUGAGAUUAAAACACCUUCUGGUUUAAUCGUGAAAAUUAGUUGAAAUUGGAAAUCCUGCCAAUCUGAUUCAUGCGCCUGACCAAGAGUCCAACUUUUGAAGGACUCUAAUCCGAGUGUCAUGUCACAUUUUAAUUUUAGAUUUUUUUUAUGCUAUC